Molecule: ribosomal RNA, 124 nt
Organism: Cricetulus griseus (Chinese hamster)
Lineage: Eukaryota; Metazoa; Chordata; Mammalia; Rodentia; Cricetidae
Source: Ensembl
GUCUACGGCCAUACCACCCUGAACGUGCCCGAUCUUGUCUGAUCUUGGAAGCUAAGCAGGGUCAGGCCUGGUUAGUACUUGGAUGGGAGGAAGCUGAGGCAGGAGGAUCAAGAGAUUGAAGGCA